GAUGAACGCUGGCGGCGUGUCUAAUACAUGCAAGUCGAGCGAACAGAUGAGGAGCUUGCUCCUCUGACGUUAGCGGCGGACGGGUGAGUAACACGUGGAUAACCUACCUAUAAGACUGGGAUAACUUCGGGAAACCGGAGCUAAUACCGGAUAAUAUAUUGAACCGCAUGGUUCAAUAGUGAAAGACGGUUUUGCUGUCACUUAUAGAUGGAUCCGCGCCGCAUUAGCUAGUUGGUAAGGUAACGGCUUACCAAGGCAACGAUGCGUAGCCGACCUGAGAGGGUGAUCGGCCACACUGGAACUGAGACACGGUCCAGGCUCCUACGGGAGGCAGCAGUAGGGAAUCUUCCGCAAUGGGCGAAAGCCUGACGGAGCAACGCCGCGUGAGUGAUGAAGGUCUUCGGAUCGUAAAACUCUGUUAUUAGGGAAGAACAAAUGUGUAAGUAACUAUGCACGUCUUGACGGUACCUAAUCAGAAAGCCACGGCUAACUACGUG
This 497-nucleotide ribosomal RNA is filed under the name uncultured bacterium. Its description in RNAcentral is "partial 16S ribosomal RNA". It matches the Rfam family "Bacterial small subunit ribosomal RNA", at positions 28 to 507 of the family's 1533-position model. The record is from RNAcentral.